UAGCCGUAAACGAUACUCGCUAGGUGUCGGCCACGGUGCGACCGUUGUCGGUGCCGUAGGGAAGCCGUGAAGCGAGCCACCUGGGAAGUACGGCCGCAAGGCUGAAACUUAAAGGAAUUGGCGGGGGAGCACAACAACGGGUGGAGCUUGCGGUUUAAAUUGGAUUCAAACGCCGGAAAUCUUACCGGGACCGACAGCAACAUGAAGGCCAAGCUGAAGACUUUGCCGGAUUAGCUGAGAGGAGGUGCAUGGCGUA
RNAcentral lists this ribosomal RNA (256 nucleotides) under uncultured archaeon. RNAcentral's name for it is "partial 16S ribosomal RNA". It matches the Rfam family "Archaeal small subunit ribosomal RNA", at positions 748 to 1001 of the family's 1478-position model. The record is from RNAcentral.